Paramuricea clavata is the source of this 539-nucleotide non-coding RNA. The record is from the annotation of a GenBank genome assembly. NCBI's taxonomy places the organism in Eukaryota, Metazoa, Cnidaria, Anthozoa, Malacalcyonacea, Plexauridae.
GUGUUCCUUUAUUUUCAUCAAGGAUGAUUCUAGCCGCCCGCUUUUUGAGCUUUAGAAGUCGUUGAUGGCAUUCAAUGCUGCAGCUAUCCCAUAUCACACUACCAUACAUGAGAGCUGGUUUAAUAACACCUGAAUACAGGCAUCCCUACCAAGGGAUAAGUUGUUCAUCCUUGAUAAUACAUUUUUCCAUAGUUACUUAUGAAUACUUUCUUGCUCUGGGUACAUCGAUCGCUCUCAUAAAUCAAGGCUCGCGAUUCAUGAUCGAAAACGUGGGUCCAGUCCAAGGAGAGAUUUAUGGCGUAAUUUAUGAAAUGGUGUAUUACCAUUCUCGUAACCAAGCGCUUUAAUUAUUAUAAAGUAGAUCACUAAAUUGGCGCGCAGACGCAUUCAACGCAGCAAUUUAAGGCCGUUUCCAGUACUAAGCAGAAUUUUUCUUUGUCUUGUGAUUUCUCGGGGUGAAAGUAAUUAGAAAAGACAGAAAGAAAUUCCGCUCCGCGCGGAAAAUUCUGCCUAGUGGAAAAAGCCUAAAUAAGCAGCGG